Long non-coding RNA from Rhincodon typus (whale shark), 397 nucleotides. RefSeq lists it as uncharacterized. The record is from RefSeq and is a predicted model, not a curated record. The transcript is spliced from 2 exons. Lineage: Eukaryota; Metazoa; Chordata; Chondrichthyes; Orectolobiformes; Rhincodontidae.
CGGGGCGGGCCAUUGUGUCGUAGCAACAAUCGGUGCUGUGACAACCAAUGGCGGAGGCCAGGAGGUAGCGGCCGCUCAGCGUCUGAAGUUACUCAGUGUGGAGUCGGAGCGGUGCCCGAGGCCGAGCCACUCGCCGUUGCCACAGCGAAGGGGUGGACAGCGGGCCCGCAUGAGGGGACUUGUGUGAAUCCGUGGGGUCGUUGGCGCGAUUAGCCCCUUUCGUUUUCAAUAACAUUCGGUCUGACAGCGGAGACAGGGAGUCUACAACUUGGUAUGAUCCAAUAACUGAAACAACAAACUCAUCCCAGUUCCUCGGAUAAUAUAUGCUAUUACAUUUAUCACCAAGCAUAAUCUUAUUUGGUGAAUAAUAAAACCAUGUGGUGUCAGUGAACUGAAA